Molecule: ribosomal RNA, 449 nt
Filed under: uncultured bacterium
Lineage: Bacteria
Description: partial 16S ribosomal RNA
Rfam family: Bacterial small subunit ribosomal RNA
Source: RNAcentral
AACGAACGCUGGCGGCAUGCCUAACACAUGCAAGUCGAACGAGAUCUUCGGGUCUUGUGGCGCACGGGUGCGUAACGCGUGGGAAUCUGCCCUUUGGUUCGGAAUAACAGUUGGAAACGACUGCUAAUACCGGAUGAUGACGAUAGUCCAAAGAUUUAUCGCCGGAGAAUGAGCCCGCGUAGGAUUAGCUAGUUGGUGUGGUAAAGGCGCACCAAGGCGACGAUCCUUAGCUGGUCUGAGAGGAUGAUCAGCCACACUGGGACUGAGACACGGCCCAGACUCCUACGGGAGGCAGCAGUGGGGAAUAUUGGACAAUGGGCGAAAGCCUGAUCCAGCAAUGCCGCGUGAGUGAUGAAGGCCUUAGGGUUGUAAAGCUCUUUUACCCGGGAUGAUAAUGACAGUACCGGGAGAAUAAGCUCCGGCUAACUCCGUGCCAGCAGCCGCCGUAA